GAUGAAGAACGCAGCGAAAUGCGAUACGUAAUGUGAAUUGCAGAUUUUAGUGAAUCAUCGAAUCUUUGAACGCACAUUGCGCCCGCCAGUAUUCUGGCGGGCAUGCCUGUUCGAGCGUCAUUUCAACCAUCAAGCCUUCGCUUGUGUUGGGGCCCCCGGCUGCCGCGGCCCCCUAAAUCCAGUGGCGGGCUCGUCGUCGUACCGAGCGCAGUAGACAUCCUCGCUCCGGGAACCCGACGGGUGCCGGCCGUGAAACCCCCCCCAUCAAGGUUGACCUCGGAUCAGGUAGGAAUACCCGCUGAACUUAAGCAUAUCAAUAAGCGGAGGA
RNAcentral lists this unclassified non-coding RNA (328 nucleotides) under soil metagenome. RNAcentral's name for it is "partial contains 5.8S ribosomal RNA, internal transcribed spacer 2, and large subunit ribosomal RNA". The stretch from base 1 to 120 matches the Rfam family "5.8S ribosomal RNA", at positions 35 to 154 of the family's 154-position model. The record is from RNAcentral.